AGAGCGAACGCUGGCGGCAGGCUUAACACAUGCAAGUCGAGCGGGCGUAGCAAUACGUCAGCGGCAGACGGGUGAGUAACGCGUGGGAACGUACCUUUUGGUUCGGAACAACCCAGGGAAACUUGGGCUAAUACCGGAUAAGCCCUUACGGGGAAAGAUUUAUCGCCGAAAGAUCGGCCCGCGUCUGAUUAGCUAGUUGGUGAGGUAAUGGCUCACCAAGGCGACGAUCAGUAGCUGGUCUGAGAGGAUGAUCAGCCACAUUGGGACUGAGACACGGCCCAAACUCCUACGGGAGGCAGCAGUGGGGAAUAUUGGACAAUGGGCGCAAGCCUGAUCCAGCCAUGCCGCGUGAGUGAUGAAGGCCCUAGGGUUGUAAAGCUCUUUUGUGCGGGAAGAUAAGUGACGGUACCGCAAGAAUAAGCCCCGGACUAACUUCGCGCCAGCAGCCGAC
This 451-nucleotide ribosomal RNA is filed under the name uncultured bacterium. RNAcentral's name for it is "SSU rRNA". It matches the Rfam family "Bacterial small subunit ribosomal RNA", at positions 26 to 518 of the family's 1533-position model. The record is from RNAcentral.